RNAcentral lists this ribosomal RNA (519 nucleotides) under uncultured bacterium. RNAcentral describes it as "bacterial SSU rRNA". It matches the Rfam family "Bacterial small subunit ribosomal RNA", at positions 8 to 518 of the family's 1533-position model. The record is from RNAcentral.
AGAGUUGAUCAUGGCUCAGGAUGAACGCUAGCUACAGGCUUAACACAUGCAAGUCGAGGGGCAGCAGGACGAUAGCUUGCUAUGUGCUGGCGACCGGCGCACGGGUGAGUAACGCGUAUCCAACCUGGCCCGUAGUAGGGAAUAGCCCGGCGAAAGUCGGAUUAAUGCCCUAUGUUUUCCUUUGAGGACAUCUGAUUUGGAAUAAAGGUUCACCGCUAUGGGAUGGGGAUGCGUCUGAUUAGCUUGUCGGCGGGGUAACGGCCCACCGAGGCAACGAUCAGUAGGGGUUCUGAGAGGAAGGUCCCCCACAUUGGUACUGAGACACGGACCAAACUCCUACGGGAGGCAGCAGUGAGGAAUAUUGGUCAAUGGGCGAGAGCCUGAACCAGCCAAGUAGCGUGCCAGGAAGACUGCCCUAUGGGUUGUAAACUGCUUUUAUGCGGGAAUAAAGUGCACUACGUGUAGUGUUUUGUAUGUACCGCAUGAAUAAGGACCGGCUAAUUCCGUGCCAGCCGCCGC